RNAcentral lists this ribosomal RNA (425 nucleotides) under uncultured bacterium. RNAcentral's name for it is "partial 16S ribosomal RNA". It matches the Rfam family "Bacterial small subunit ribosomal RNA", at positions 354 to 796 of the family's 1533-position model. The record is from RNAcentral.
GUGGGGAAUCUUAGACAAUGGGCGCAAGCCUGAUCUAGCCAUGCCGCGUGAGCGAUGAAGGCCUUAGGGUUGUAAAGCUCUUUCGUGGGGGAAGAUAAUGACUGUACCCCAAGAAGAAGCCCCGGCUAACUCCGUGCCAGCAGCCGCGGUAAUACGGAGGGGGCUAGCGUUGUUCGGAAUUACUGGGCGUAAAGCGCACGUAGGCGGACUGGAAAGUCAGGGGUGAAAUCCCGGGGCUCAACCCCGGAACUGCCUUUGAAACUCCCAGGCUUGAGUUCGAGAGAGGUGAGUGGAAUUCCGAGUGUAGAGGUGAAAUUCGUAGAUAUUCGGAGGAACACCAGUGGCGAAGGCGGCUCACUGGCUCGAUACUGACGCUGAGGUGCGAAAGCGUGGGGAGCAAACAGGAUUAGAAACCCCGGUAGUCC